This 200-nucleotide unclassified non-coding RNA is filed under the name Rhizophlyctis sp. RNAcentral describes it as "partial internal transcribed spacer 2". The record is from RNAcentral. Lineage: Eukaryota; Fungi; Chytridiomycota; Chytridiomycetes; Rhizophlyctidales; Rhizophlyctidaceae.
UUAAGUUCAGCGGGUUUUCCUACCUGAUUUGAGACCAAGUGUUCAGGGAGAUCCUGUUAAGGACCCCCGCUGGAUGAUAGUUGAGUCCACAGCACCAGAGGCUCUGAUCCCAGAACGGAUGCUCAAGACGUACUUCAGAGAAAAUCCCUUUCAUGCGCUCGAAACCGGACGGGCGUCCAAUGAUUCCAUGACAUUGUAUU